AGGAAUAUUGGUCAAUGGGCGAGAGCCUGAACCAGCCAAGUAGCGUGAAGGAUGACUGCCUUAUGGGUUGUAAACUUCUUUUAUAAAGGAAUAAAGUCGGGUAUGGAUACCCGUUUGCAUGUACUUUAUGAAUAAGGAUCGGCUAACUCCGUGCCAGCAGCCGCGGUAAUACGGAGGAUCCGAGCGUUAUCCGGAUUUAUUGGGUUUAAAGGGAGCGUAGAUGGAUGUUUAAGUCAGUUGUGAAAGUUUGCGGCUCAACCGUAAAAUUGCAGUUGAUACUGGCAGUCUUGAGUGCAGUAGAGGUGGGCGGAAUUCGUGGUGUAGCGGUGAAAUGCUUAGAUAUCACGAAGAACUCCGAUUGCGAAGGCAGCUCACUGGAGUGUAACUGACGCUGAUGCUCGAAAGUGUGGGUAUCAAACAGGAUUAGAUACCCUGGUAGUCCACACAGUAAACGAUGAAUACUCGCUGUUUGCGAUAUACAGUAAGCGGCUUAGCGAAAGCGUUAAGUAUUCCGCCUGGGGAGUACGCCGGCAACGGUGAAACUCAAAGGAAUUGACGGGGGCCCGCACAAGCGGAGGAACAUGUGGUUUAAUUCGAUGAUACGCGAGGAACCUUACCCGGGCUUGAAUUGCAACUGAAUGAUGUGGAGACAUGUCAGCCGCAAGGCAGUUGUGAAGGUGCUGCAUGGUUGUCGUCAGCUCGUGCCGUGAGGUGUCGGCUUAAGUGCCAUAACGAGCGCAACCCUUAUCGAUAGUUACCAUCAGGUUAUGCUGGGGACUCUGUCGAGACUGCCGUCGUAAGAUGUGAGGAAGGUGGGGAUGACGUCAAAUCAGCACGGCCCUUACGUCCGGGGCUACACACGUGUUACAAUGGGGGGUACAGAAGGCAGCUACACGGCGACGUGAUGCUAAUCCCGGAAGCCUCUCUCAGUUCGGAUUGGAGUCUGCAACCCGACUCCAUGAAGCUGGAUUCGCUAGUAAUCGCGCAUCAGCCACGGCGCGGUGAAUACGUUCCCG
This 1016-nucleotide ribosomal RNA is filed under the name uncultured bacterium. RNAcentral describes it as "bacterial SSU rRNA". It matches the Rfam family "Bacterial small subunit ribosomal RNA", at positions 357 to 1376 of the family's 1533-position model. The record is from RNAcentral.